This 253-nucleotide ribosomal RNA is filed under the name uncultured bacterium. RNAcentral's name for it is "partial 16S ribosomal RNA". It matches the Rfam family "Bacterial small subunit ribosomal RNA", at positions 524 to 776 of the family's 1533-position model. The record is from RNAcentral.
GACGGGGGAUGCAAGCGUUAUCCGGAAUCACUGGGCGUAAAGCGACUGUAGGUGGUGAUGCCAGUCACUGGUGCAAAACUCUGGCUCAACCGGAGGAAAGCCAGUGAAACUGCAUGACUAGAGUGUGGGAGGGGUAGAAGGAAUUCCCUGAGUAGCGGUGAAUUGCGUAGAUACAGGGAAGAACACCGGAGGCGAAAGCGUUCUACUGGAACACAACUGACACUGAGAGACGAAAGCUAGGGGAGCGAAUGGG